Molecule: ribosomal RNA, 2623 nt
Filed under: Staphylococcus aureus M0299
Lineage: Bacteria; Bacillati; Bacillota; Bacilli; Caryophanales; Staphylococcaceae
Also listed under: 1 other name
Description: bacterial LSU rRNA
Rfam family: Bacterial large subunit ribosomal RNA
Source: RNAcentral
UAGGACACUCUAUACGGAGUUACAAAGGACGACAUUAGACGAAUCAUCUGGAAAGAUGAAUCAAAGAAGGUAAUAAUCCUGUAGUCGAAAAUGUUGUCUCUCUUGAGUGGAUCCUGAGUACGACGGAGCACGUGAAAUUCCGUCGGAAUCUGGGAGGACCAUCUCCUAAGGCUAAAUACUCUCUAGUGACCGAUAGUGAACCAGUACCGUGAGGGAAAGGUGAAAAGCACCCCGGAAGGGGAGUGAAAUAGAACCUGAAACCGUGUGCUUACAAGUAGUCAGAGCCCGUUAAUGGGUGAUGGCGUGCCUUUUGUAGAAUGAACCGGCGAGUUACGAUUUGAUGCAAGGUUAAGCAGUAAAUGUGGAGCCGUAGCGAAAGCGAGUCUGAAUAGGGCGUUUAGUAUUUGGUCGUAGACCCGAAACCAGGUGAUCUACCCUUGGUCAGGUUGAAGUUCAGGUAACACUGAAUGGAGGACCGAACCGACUUACGUUGAAAAGUGAGCGGAUGAACUGAGGGUAGCGGAGAAAUUCCAAUCGAACCUGGAGAUAGCUGGUUCUCUCCGAAAUAGCUUUAGGGCUAGCCUCAAGUGAUGAUUAUUGGAGGUAGAGCACUGUUUGGACGAGGGGCCCCUCUCGGGUUACCGAAUUCAGACAAACUCCGAAUGCCAAUUAAUUUAACUUGGGAGUCAGAACAUGGGUGAUAAGGUCCGUGUUCGAAAGGGAAACAGCCCAGACCACCAGCUAAGGUCCCAAAAUAUAUGUUAAGUGGAAAAGGAUGUGGCGUUGCCCAGACAACUAGGAUGUUGGCUUAGAAGCAGCCAUCAUUUAAAGAGUGCGUAAUAGCUCACUAGUCGAGUGACACUGCGCCGAAAAUGUACCGGGGCUAAACAUAUUACCGAAGCUGUGGAUUGUCCUUUGGACAAUGGUAGGAGAGCGUUCUAAGGGCGUUGAAGCAUGAUCGUAAGGACAUGUGGAGCGCUUAGAAGUGAGAAUGCCGGUGUGAGUAGCGAAAGACGGGUGAGAAUCCCGUCCACCGAUUGACUAAGGUUUCCAGAGGAAGGCUCGUCCGCUCUGGGUUAGUCGGGUCCUAAGCUGAGGCCGACAGGCGUAGGCGAUGGAUAACAGGUUGAUAUUCCUGUACCACCUAUAAUCGUUUUAAUCGAUGGGGGGACGCAGUAGGAUAGGCGAAGCGUGCGAUUGGAUUGCACGUCUAAGCAGUAAGGCUGAGUAUUAGGCAAAUCCGGUACUCGUUAAGGCUGAGCUGUGAUGGGGAGAAGACAUUGUGUCUUCGAGUCGUUGAUUUCACACUGCCGAGAAAAGCCUCUAGAUAGAAAAUAGGUGCCCGUACCGCAAACCGACACAGGUAGUCAAGAUGAGAAUUCUAAGGUGAGCGAGCGAACUCUCGUUAAGGAACUCGGCAAAAUGACCCCGUAACUUCGGGAGAAGGGGUGCUCUUUAGGGUUAACGCCCAGAAGAGCCGCAGUGAAUAGGCCCAAGCGACUGUUUAUCAAAAACACAGGUCUCUGCUAAACCGUAAGGUGAUGUAUAGGGGCUGACGCCUGCCCGGUGCUGGAAGGUUAAGAGGAGUGGUUAGCUUCUGCGAAGCUACGAAUCGAAGCCCCAGUAAACGGCGGCCGUAACUAUAACGGUCCUAAGGUAGCGAAAUUCCUUGUCGGGUAAGUUCCGACCCGCACGAAAGGCGUAACGAUUUGGGCACUGUCUCAACGAGAGACUCGGUGAAAUCAUAGUACCUGUGAAGAUGCAGGUUACCCGCGACAGGACGGAAAGACCCCGUGGAGCUUUACUGUAGCCUGAUAUUGAAAUUCGGCACAGCUUGUACAGGAUAGGUAGGAGCCUUUGAAACGUGAGCGCUAGCUUACGUGGAGGCGCUGGUGGGAUACUACCCUAGCUGUGUUGGCUUUCUAACCCGCACCACUUAUCGUGGUGGGAGACAGUGUCAGGCGGGCAGUUUGACUGGGGCGGUCGCCUCCUAAAAGGUAACGGAGGCGCUCAAAGGUUCCCUCAGAAUGGUUGGAAAUCAUUCAUAGAGUGUAAAGGCAUAAGGGAGCUUGACUGCGAGACCUACAAGUCGAGCAGGGUCGAAAGACGGACUUAGUGAUCCGGUGGUUCCGCAUGGAAGGGCCAUCGCUCAACGGAUAAAAGCUACCCCGGGGAUAACAGGCUUAUCUCCCCCAAGAGUUCACAUCGACGGGGAGGUUUGGCACCUCGAUGUCGGCUCAUCGCAUCCUGGGGCUGUAGUCGGUCCCAAGGGUUGGGCUGUUCGCCCAUUAAAGCGGUACGCGAGCUGGGUUCAGAACGUCGUGAGACAGUUCGGUCCCUAUCCGUCGUGGGCGUAGGAAAUUUGAGAGGAGCUGUCCUUAGUACGAGAGGACCGGGAUGGACAUACCUCUGGUGUACCAGUUGUCGUGCCAACGGCAUAGCUGGGUAGCUAUGUGUGGACGGGAUAAGUGCUGAAAGCAUCUAAGCAUGAAGCCCCCCUCAAGAUGAGAUUUCCCAACUUCGGUUAUAAGAUCCCUCAAAGAUGAUGAGGUUAAUAGGUUCGAGGUGGAAGCAUGGUGACAUGUGGAGCUGACGAAUACUAAUCGAUCGAAGACUUAAUCAA